Molecule: microRNA precursor, 63 nt
Filed under: Mus musculus (house mouse)
Lineage: Eukaryota; Metazoa; Chordata; Mammalia; Rodentia; Muridae
Description: Mmu-Mir-3068_pre stem-loop
Source: RNAcentral
UUGGAGUUCAUGCAAGUUCUAACCAGCUUACUCAGUAGCUGGGUGAAUUGCAGUACUCCAACA